CAAGCGAGGAUUUUGACAAUUCAAAACUUUUUCAAUGAAUUCCUUCUUUUUUGUUUGUUUUAUUAUUGAUCAAACCAAGGAGGUUAAAUGAUCUACUAAAUCAAAAAGAAAUCCACGAAUUACGUAUCAGAAUUUUUUUUUUGUAAUCAGCGAUCCACGAAUAUACGUAUACCACGAAACGUCUUUUUUUCUCUAUCCACGAAAAUUGAUACCCACGAAAAUAAAUGAAUCCACAGUACUUAAU
Molecule: long non-coding RNA, 244 nt
Filed under: Mytilus galloprovincialis (Mediterranean mussel)
Lineage: Eukaryota; Metazoa; Mollusca; Bivalvia; Mytilida; Mytilidae
Source: RNAcentral